AAGUCGUAACAAGGUUUCCGUAGGUAACAGGUUUGCCUGCCGAAGCCCUUAGCCAGCGACUAUAAAGAAAUCAGCUACAGUCGCCCCUCCGGGGGCUGGCGACGCCGUCAAUCUGUGCCUGGGAGUACCCCCUUUCUAACGGUGUACCACCAGCAGCUCGUUGCCCUGCAAACCGAGUUCACAGAUCAAACGAUAGCGGCCACUUCGGUGGUUGAGAUAUGAUCGGCCCCCAGCUGUUACCCGGCUGGCGAGAUUUAGCGGAACCUGCGGAAG
Molecule: unclassified non-coding RNA, 273 nt
Filed under: Cladonia sp.
Lineage: Eukaryota; Fungi; Ascomycota; Lecanoromycetes; Lecanorales; Cladoniaceae
Description: partial contains internal transcribed spacer 1
Source: RNAcentral